Molecule: ribosomal RNA, 253 nt
Filed under: uncultured bacterium
Lineage: Bacteria
Description: partial 16S ribosomal RNA
Rfam family: Bacterial small subunit ribosomal RNA
Source: RNAcentral
UACGUAGGGGGCAAGCGUUGUCCGGAAUCAUUGGGCGUAAAGCGCGUGUAGGCGGCCCGAUAAGUCCGCUGUGAAAGUCCAGGGCUCAACCCUGGAAUGCCGGUGGAUACUGUCGGGCUCGAGUCCGGAAGAGGCGAGUGGAAUUCCUGGUGUAGCGGUGAAAUGCGCAGAUAUCAGGAGGAACACCGAUGGCGAAGGCAGCUCGCUGGGACGGUACUGACGCUGAGGCGCGAAAGCGUGGGGAGCAAACGGG